GGAGGAUCCGAGCGUUAUCCGGAUUUAUUGGGUUUAAAGGGUGCGUAGGCGGUCAGGUAAGUUAGAGGUGAAAGCUCGAUGCUCAACAUCGAAACUGCCUCUGAUACUGUCUGACUAGAGUGUAGUUGCGGAAGGCGGAAUGUGUGGUGUAGCGGUGAAAUGCUUAGAUAUCACACAGAACACCGAUUGCGAAGGCAGCUUUCCAAGCUAUUACUGACGCUGAGGCACGAAAGCAUGGGUAGCGAA
RNAcentral lists this ribosomal RNA (246 nucleotides) under uncultured bacterium. RNAcentral describes it as "partial 16S ribosomal RNA". It matches the Rfam family "Bacterial small subunit ribosomal RNA", at positions 527 to 772 of the family's 1533-position model. The record is from RNAcentral.